GGCCGCUUGGUCUAGGGGUAUGAUUGCCGCUUUGGGUUGUGAUCUUUGAUCACUCUGAUUGCGGCAGGUCCCGGGUUCGAUCCCCGGAGCGGCCC
RNAcentral lists this transfer RNA (95 nucleotides) under Gaeumannomyces tritici R3-111a-1. RNAcentral's name for it is "tRNA GGTG_20156". Lineage: Eukaryota; Fungi; Ascomycota; Sordariomycetes; Magnaporthales; Magnaporthaceae. The record is from RNAcentral.